This 565-nucleotide long non-coding RNA is filed under the name Homo sapiens (human). RNAcentral describes it as "TRPM1 antisense RNA 1". Lineage: Eukaryota; Metazoa; Chordata; Mammalia; Primates; Hominidae. The record is from RNAcentral.
GCUCCUGCACGCACUGCUCCUCGAACUCAUGCAGCCUCUUUAGCUCCUCGUCGCUAAGGAAGAGCUCUGUGUGAAGGGAGAAGUGUCGGCCACGUGAAAAACAAGAAGAAUCACGGCCGCUGAGACGCAUAAUGAUGAUGUAGAUGUGGCUUAAAAUGAUCAUCGGUGGGGGCAGGACUGGCCUGUCAUGAAAUGUCAUAAUCAGCUGAUAUCGCUGGAACUUCCACACCUGGUUGGAUAUUGAUUUUACUUCAAAGAAGGCUCACGAUGUAGGAGAUGACGAUCCACUCCUGGAGGGACGGCCAGCCAUCCAUCCGCACCAGGAUGACGUAGUUAAACAGCAGCAGGUUGACACAUCUAAAAGAAUCUUUGUUUCCAACUGGACUGACUCAUUGAGAGGAAACCUUCACUGCACCUCACCAGUGCAGACAGAAGACCUGGAGGCAGGACGGGAGGCAUUUUAUACUUCAGCACGAUAUGGGCCCUGACUUUUCAUUUUCUACAUGGAGACAUAUUGGUUGGUGCUGUCAUCCUCAUGGGGAAACUAUGAAGUUGCAAACAUUAU